GAUGGACCUGCGGCGCAUUAGCUAGUUGGUGAGGUAACGGCCCACCAAGGCGAUGAUGCGUAGCCGGCCUGAGAGGGUAAACGGCCACAUUGGGACUGAGACACGGCCCAAACUCCUACGGGAGGCAGCAGUAGGGAAUUUUCGUCAAUGGGGGGAACCCUGAACGAGCAAUGCCGCGUGAGUGAAGAAGGUCUUCGGAUCGUAAAGCUCUGUUGUAAGUGAAGAACGGAUCAUAGAGGAAAUGCUAUGGGAGUGACGGUAGCUUACCAGAAAGCCACGGCUAACUACGUGCCAGCAGCCGCGGUAAUACGUAGGUGGCAAGCGUUAUCCGGAAUCAUUGGGCGUAAAGGGUGCGUAGGUGGCGUACUAAGUCUGUAGUAAAAGGCAAUGGCUCAACCAUUGUAAGCUAUGGAAACUGGUAUGCUGGAGUGCAGAAGAGGGCGAUGGAAUUCCAUGUGUAGCGGUAAAAUGCGUAGAUAUAUGGAGGAACACCAGUGGCGAAGGCGGUCGCCUGGUCUGUAACUGACACUGAGGCACGAAAGCGUGGGGAGCAAAUAGGAUUAGAUACCCUAGUAGUCCACGCCGUAAACGAUGAGUACUAAGUGUUGG
This 609-nucleotide ribosomal RNA is filed under the name uncultured bacterium. RNAcentral's name for it is "bacterial SSU rRNA". It matches the Rfam family "Bacterial small subunit ribosomal RNA", at positions 224 to 826 of the family's 1533-position model. The record is from RNAcentral.